GACGAACGCUGGCGGCGUGCCUAAUACAUGCAAGUCGAACGCACAGUUUAUACCGUAGCUUGCUACACCAUAGACUGUGAGUUGCGAACGGGUGAGUAACGCGUAGGUAACCUGCCUGGUAGCGGGGGAUAACUAUUGGAAACGAUAGCUAAUACCGCAUAAUAUUAAUUAUUGCAUGAUAAUUAAUUGAAAGGUGCAAUUGCACCACUACCAGAUGGACCUGCGUUGUAUUAGCUAGUAGGUGAGGUAACGGCUCAACUAGGCGACGAUACAUAGCCGACCUGGGAGGGGUAUCGGCCACACUGGGACUGGGACACGGCCCAGACUCCUAAGGGAGGCAGCAGUAGGGAAUCUUCGGGAAUGGACGAAAGGCUGACCGAGCAACGCCGCGUGAGGGAAGAAGGGUUUCGGAUCGUAAAGCUCUGUUGUAAGGGAAGAACGGGUGGGGGAGUGGAAAGUGCACACUGUGACGGUAUCUUACCAGAAAGGGACGGCUAACUACGUG
RNAcentral lists this ribosomal RNA (505 nucleotides) under uncultured bacterium. RNAcentral's name for it is "partial 16S ribosomal RNA". It matches the Rfam family "Bacterial small subunit ribosomal RNA", at positions 28 to 507 of the family's 1533-position model. The record is from RNAcentral.